AUUGAACGCUGGCGGAAUGCUUUACACAUGCAAGUCGAACGGCAGCACGGGGGCAGCCCUGGUGGCGAGUGGCGAACGGGUGAGUAAUACAUCGGAUCGUGCCCGGUCGUGGGGGAUAACGUAGCGAAAGUUACGCUAAUACCGCAUACGAUCUGAGGAUGAAAGCGGGGGACCUUCGGGCCUCGCGCGAUCGGAGCGGCCGAUGUCAGAUUAGGUAGUUGGUGGGGUAAAGGCCUACCAAGCCGACGAUCUGUAGCUGGUCUGAGAGGACGACCAGCCACACUGGGACUGAGACACGGCCCAGACUCCUACGGGAGGCAGCAGUGGGGAAUUUUGGACAAUGGGCGCAAGCCUGAUCCAGCCAUUCCGCGUGCAGGACGAAGGCCUUCGGGUUGUAAACUGCUUUUGUACGGAACGAAAAGGCUCUGGCUAAUACCUGGGGCUCAUGACGGUACCGUAAGAAUAAGCACCGGCUAACUACGUG
RNAcentral lists this ribosomal RNA (484 nucleotides) under uncultured bacterium. RNAcentral's name for it is "partial 16S ribosomal RNA". It matches the Rfam family "Bacterial small subunit ribosomal RNA", at positions 30 to 507 of the family's 1533-position model. The record is from RNAcentral.